GCCUGGAUAGCUUAGAGGAAAAGCACACCCUUGGUAAGGGUGAGACCGUGGGUUCAAGUCCCACUCCAGGCUCAA
RNAcentral lists this transfer RNA (75 nucleotides) under Candidatus Woesebacteria bacterium RIFCSPHIGHO2_01_FULL_38_9. RNAcentral's name for it is "tRNA-Thr". It matches the Rfam family "tRNA". From Rfam's summary of the family: Transfer RNA (tRNA) molecules are approximately 80 nucleotides in length. Their secondary structure includes four short double-helical elements and three loops (D, anti-codon, and T loops). Lineage: Bacteria; Candidatus Woeseibacteriota. RNAcentral also lists the same sequence under 1 other name. The record is from RNAcentral.